GACGGAGGAUGCAAGCGUUAUCCGGAAUGAUUGGGCGUAAAGCGUCCGCAGGUGGCAGUUCAAGUCUGCUGUCAAAGACCGGGGCUUAACUUCGGAAAGGCAGUGGAAACUGAACAGCUAGAGUAUGGUAGGGGCAGAGGGAAUUCCUGGUGUAGCGGUGAAAUGCGUAGAGCUCGUGAGGAAGACCGGUGGCGAAGGCGGAUCUCUGGACGGCCCCUGACGCUGAGGCGCGAAGGCUAGGGGAGCAAACGGG
Molecule: ribosomal RNA, 253 nt
Filed under: uncultured bacterium
Lineage: Bacteria
Description: partial 16S ribosomal RNA
Rfam family: Bacterial small subunit ribosomal RNA
Source: RNAcentral